GGGUUGUGAGGUUAAGCGACUAAGCGUACACGGUGGAUGCCCUGGCAGUCAGAGGCGAUGAAGGGCGUGCUAAUCUGCGAUAAGCGCCGGUAAGGUGAUAUGAACCGUUAUAACCGGCGAUACCCGAAUGGGGAAACCCAGUGUGAUUCGUCACACUAUCAUUAACUGAAUCCAUAGGUUAAUGAGGCGAACCGGGGGAACUGAAACAUCUAAGUACCCCGAGGAAAAGAAAUCAACCGAGAUUCCCCCAGUAGCGGCGAGCGAACGGGGAGGAGCCCAGAGCCUGAAUCAGCAUGUGUGUUAGUGGAAGCGUCUGGAAAGGCGCGCGAUACAGGGUGACAGCCCCGUACACAAAAGCGCAUGUGCUGUGAGCUCGAUGAGUAGGGCGGGACACGUGGUAUCCUGUCUGAAUAUGGGGGGACCAUCCUCCAAGGCUAAAUACUCCUGACUGACCGAUAGUGAACCAGUACCGUGAGGGAAAGGCGAAAAGAACCCCGGCGAGGGGAGUGAAAAAGAACCUGAAACCGUGUACGUACAAGCAGUGGGAGCNNNNNNNNNNNNNNNNNNNNNNNNNNNNNNNNNNNNNNNNNNNNNNNNNNNNNNNNNNNNGGGCGUUAAGUUGCAGGGUAUAGACCCGAAACCCGGUGAUCUAGCCAUGGGCAGGUUGAAGGUUGGGUAACACUAACUGGAGGACCGAACCGACUAAUGUUGAAAAAUUAGCGGAUGACCUGUGGCUGGGGGUGAAAGGCCAAUCAAACCGGGAGAUAGCUGGUUCUCCCCGAAAGCUAUUUAGGUAGCGCCUCGUGAAUUCAUCUCCGGGGGUAGAGCACUGUUUCGGCUAGGGGGCCAUCCCGGCUUACCAACCCGAUGCAAACUGCGAAUACCGGAGAAUGUUAUCACGGGAGACACACGGCGGGUGCUAACGUCCGUCGUGAAGAGGGAAACAACCCAGACCGCCAGCUAAGGUCCCAAAGUCAUGGUUAAGUGGGAAACGAUGUGGGAAGGCCCAGACAGCCAGGAUGUUGGCUUAGAAGCAGCCAUCAUUUAAAGAAAGCGUAAUAGCUCACUGGUCGAGUCGGCCUGCGCGGAAGAUGUAACGGGGCUAAACCAUGCACCGAAGCUGCGGCAGCGACACUGUGUGUUGUUGGGUAGGGGAGCGUUCUGUAAGCCUGCGAAGGUGGCCUGUGAGGGUUGCUGGAGGUAUCAGAAGUGCGAAUGCUGACAUAAGUAACGAUAAAGCGGGUGAAAAGCCCGCUCGCCGGAAGACCAAGGGUUCCUGUCCAACGUUAAUCGGGGCAGGGUGAGUCGACCCCUAAGGCGAGGCCGAAAGGCGUAGUCGAUGGGAAACGGGUUAAUAUUCCCGUACUUGGUGUUACUGCGAAGGGGGGACGGAGAAGGCUAUGUUGGCCGGGCGACGGUUGUCCCGGUUUAAGCGUGUAGGUGUGUGUUCCAGGUAAAUCCGGUUCACUUUAACACUGAGGCGUGACGACGAGGCACUACGGUGCUGAAGCAACAAAUGCCCUGCUUCCAGGAAAAGCCUCUAAGCAUCAGGUAACAUCAAAUCGUACCCCAAACCGACACAGGUGGUCAGGUAGAGAAUACCAAGGCGCUUGAGAGAACUCGGGUGAAGGAACUAGGCAAAAUGGUGCCGUAACUUCGGGAGAAGGCACGCUGACACGUAGGUGAAGUGAUUUACUCAUGGAGCUGAAGUCAGUCGAAGAUACCAGCUGGCUGCAACUGUUUAUUAAAAACACAGCACUGUGCAAACACGAAAGUGGACGUAUACGGUGUGACGCCUGCCCGGUGCCGGAAGGUUAAUUGAUGGGGUCAGCGCAAGCGAAGCUCCUGAUCGAAGCCCCGGUAAACGGCGGCCGUAACUAUAACGGUCCUAAGGUAGCGAAAUUCCUUGUCGGGUAAGUUCCGACCUGCACGAAUGGCGUAAUGAUGGCCAGGCUGUCUCCACCCGAGACUCAGUGAAAUUGAACUCGCUGUGAAGAUGCAGUGUACCCGCGGCAAGACGGAAAGACCCCGUGAACCUUUACUAUAGCUUGACACUGAACAUUGAGCCUUGAUGUGUAGGAUAGGUGGGAGGCUUUGAAGUGUGGACGCCAGUCUGCAUGGAGCCGACCUUGAAAUACCACCCUUUAAUGUUUGAUGUUCUAACGUGGACCCGUUACCCGGGUUGCGGACAGUGUCUGGUGGGUAGUUUGACUGGGGCGGUCUCCUCCUAAAGAGUAACGGAGGAGCACGAAGGUUGGCUAAUCCUGGUCGGACAUCAGGAGGUUAGUGCAAUGGCAUAAGCCAGCUUGACUGCGAGCGUGACGGCGCGAGCAGGUGCGAAAGCAGGUCAUAGUGAUCCGGUGGUUCUGAAUGGAAGGGCCAUCGCUCAACGGAUAAAAGGUACUCCGGGGAUAACAGGCUGAUACCGCCCAAGAGUUCAUAUCGACGGCGGUGUUUGGCACCUCGAUGUCGGCUCAUCACAUCCUGGGGCUGAAGUAGGUCCCAAGGGUAUGGCUGUUCGCCAUUUAAAGUGGUACGCGAGCUGGGUUUAGAACGUCGUGAGACAGUUCGGUCCCUAUCUGCCGUGGGCGCUGGAGAACUGAGGGGGGCUGCUCCUAGUACGAGAGGACCGGAGUGGACGCAUCACUGGUGUUCGGGUUGUCAUGCCAAUGGCACUGCCCGGUAGCUAAAUGCGGAAGAGAUAAGUGCUGAAAGCAUCUAAGCACGAAACUUGCCCCGAGAUGAGUUCUCCCUGAGACUUAAAGUCUCCUGAAGGAACGUUGAAGACGACGACGUUGAUAGGCCGGGUGUGUAAGCGCAGCGAUGCGUUGAGCUAACCGGUACUAAUGAACCGUGAGGCUUAACCUUACAACGCCGAAG
RNAcentral lists this ribosomal RNA (2880 nucleotides) under Salmonella enterica subsp. enterica serovar Enteritidis. RNAcentral describes it as "23S ribosomal RNA". It matches the Rfam family "Bacterial large subunit ribosomal RNA". Lineage: Bacteria; Pseudomonadati; Pseudomonadota; Gammaproteobacteria; Enterobacterales; Enterobacteriaceae. The record is from RNAcentral.